GGGGAUGUGGGCCAGUUUGGUUAAGCUUAUAGGUUUGGGACCUAUCGACCCCGGUUCAAAUCCGGGCAUCCCCA
This 74-nucleotide transfer RNA is filed under the name archaeon. Its description in RNAcentral is "tRNA-Pro". It matches the Rfam family "tRNA". Rfam says of the family: Transfer RNA (tRNA) molecules are approximately 80 nucleotides in length. Their secondary structure includes four short double-helical elements and three loops (D, anti-codon, and T loops). Further hydrogen bonds mediate the characteristic L-shaped molecular structure. tRNAs have two regions of fundamental functional importance: the anti-codon, which is responsible for specific mRNA codon recognition, and the 3' end, to which the tRNAs corresponding amino acid is attached (by aminoacyl-tRNA synthetases). tRNAs cope with the degeneracy of the genetic code in two manners: having more than one tRNA (with a specific anti-codon) for a particular amino acid; and 'wobble' base-pairing, i.e. permitting non-standard base-pairing at the 3rd anti-codon position. The record is from RNAcentral.